Molecule: transfer RNA, 21 nt
Filed under: Thymallus thymallus (grayling)
Lineage: Eukaryota; Metazoa; Chordata; Actinopteri; Salmoniformes; Salmonidae
Description: partial tRNA-Ile
Source: RNAcentral
GGAAUUGUGCCUGAAUGCUCA